RNAcentral lists this ribosomal RNA (477 nucleotides) under uncultured bacterium. RNAcentral's name for it is "partial 16S ribosomal RNA". It matches the Rfam family "Bacterial small subunit ribosomal RNA", at positions 30 to 507 of the family's 1533-position model. The record is from RNAcentral.
AUUGAACGCUGGCGGCAUGCCUUACACAUGCAAGUCGAACGGUAACAGGUUAAGCUGACGAGUGGCGAACGGGUGAGUAAUGUAUCGGAACGUGCCCAGUCGUGGGGGAUAACUGCUCGAAAGAGCAGCUAAUACCGCAUACGACCUGAGGGUGAAAGCGGGGGAUCGCAAGACCUCGCGCGAUUGGAGCGGCCGAUAUCAGAUUAGGUAGUUGGUGAGGUAAAGGCUCACCAAGCCGACGAUCUGUAGCUGGUCUGAGAGGACGACCAGCCACACUGGGACUGAGACACGGCCCAGGCUCCUACGGGAGGCCGCAGUGGGGAAUUUUGGACAAUGGGCGCAAGCCUGAUCCAGCCAUGCCGCGUGCGGGAAGAAGGCCUUCGGGUUGUAAACCGCUUUUGUCAGGGAAGAAAAGGUUCUGGCUAAUACCUGGGACUCAUGACGGUACCUGAAGAAUAAGCACCGGCUAACUACGUG